RNAcentral lists this ribosomal RNA (253 nucleotides) under uncultured bacterium. RNAcentral describes it as "partial 16S ribosomal RNA". It matches the Rfam family "Bacterial small subunit ribosomal RNA", at positions 524 to 776 of the family's 1533-position model. The record is from RNAcentral.
UACGUAGGGAGCAAGCGUUGUCCGGAAUCAUUGGGCGUAAAGCGCGCGUAGGUGGCCACAUAAGUCCGUUGUGAAAGUCAAAGGCUCAACCUUUGAAAGCCGAUGGAUACUGUGUGGCUAGAGUACGGAAGAGGCGAGUGGAAUUCCUGGUGUAGCGGUGGAAUGCGCAGAUAUCAGGAGGAACACCAAUAGCGAAGGCAGCUCGCUGGGACGUUACUGACGCUGAGGCGCGACAGCGUGGGGAGCAAACAGG